GUUUAGAGCACUUAAGUUUCGAUGUGAGCAUCUUUAGAGCUCUCUUCUGUUUGGUAUGGUGACUAGUCACAUUCGAGAUGGUGAUUGCCCCAGCCGUCUGGGUUCCUGAGUGACUUCUACCAUAUGAACAAAACCUCUGGGUUUAUUUACAUGGGCAUGUGAGGGAGACAUAAAUAUUUUGGUACAAACUACUGCAGUUAGGGAAUUUUUGUUUUUCGUGCCUAACCUAACUUAUCUUGACCAAUACAGGAAUGAAUCCUGAAAGCAGAGUGCUGCCAUUAAAAAAAAAUCUAAACUAAACUACCUAUUACAGUGGCUUGGGUGAUAGAUGGUAAUGCUGCAUGAAGUGAUCCACAUUCUACCAUGCUGAGGGUCUAAUCAGCCCUCGGUAAUUGGGACCUCAGAACAGGGACUCUGAGACCUGAAGGGGAAGACCUACUGAAGUGCGAAAGGAACAGAAACAGAUGUUGGGGAACUCCAUGGGAUGAAUCCAGAAGCCAGCUGUUUAAAAAGGUGAAGGCAAAUCACUGUGCCAUGGAAAGUAUUUUCUUAACCGGGAAAAUGGGCGGAAUUUGUCAGUGGAGGAGCAGAGGUAUGUACAGGUGUUGCAUAUUAGUGAAACAGGCUGGGGUUCAGGUUAGCACAUUGUCUUUCAAAAAUGCUGCAGGAUAUUAUCAAACGUAAUUCCUGGUUCCCAUGGGCAGGAACCUUGGAUACAGAGAAUUGGGAUAGAGUGGGGGAAAAUUUAAGGAGAGCCCAUAGAAGGGGUGAACAAAUUGCCCUAGAAACUUUCUCAAUGUAGAGUCUGGUAAGACUGAUACUGAAACUUUUACAUAUGGCAAUAGCUACCACUACUUCUAUUGCUCCCCCUGAUGAAAGAAAGGGAAAAUAUAUCGAAGAUAACCCCUUUCAUGGCCUGCACCUCCCAAAGUUCUGGAGGUUAGCAGAGGCUACCCCCCUUAUCUAAAUAUCAAGAGCUCAUUUGGCAAGCUACUAUGGUAGGGGAUCUGAAUGGGCCUUGUUGCUUCCCCAUUUUAGUCAGACCAGACCCUAAUGAUCCUCAACAGAUGAUACAUGAACAUCAGGAAAUAGGAUAUAAGGCAUUGAAGGCAGACCAUUAAGACAGA
RNAcentral lists this long non-coding RNA (1127 nucleotides) under Heterocephalus glaber (naked mole-rat). RNAcentral describes it as "lncRNA (ENSHGLG00100051150.1)". Lineage: Eukaryota; Metazoa; Chordata; Mammalia; Rodentia; Bathyergidae. The record is from RNAcentral.